RNAcentral lists this ribosomal RNA (304 nucleotides) under uncultured Planctomycetota bacterium. RNAcentral's name for it is "bacterial SSU rRNA". It matches the Rfam family "Bacterial small subunit ribosomal RNA", at positions 29 to 351 of the family's 1533-position model. Lineage: Bacteria; Pseudomonadati; Planctomycetota. The record is from RNAcentral.
AAUGAACGUUGGCGGCGUGGAUUAGGCAUGCAAGUCGAGCGAGAACCCCGCAAGGGGGGACAGCGGCAAACGGGGUAGUAAUGUGUCGGAACGUGCCCUCUGGACGGGGAUAGCGGCGGGAAACUGCCGGUAAUACCCGAUGAACUCGAGAGAGCAAAGGUGUGAUUCCGCCGGAGGAGCGGCCGACAUGGUAUUAGCUAGUUGGUGGGGUAACGGCCCACCAAGGCUUUGAUGCCUAGGGGAUGUGAGAGCAUGAUCCCCACCAUUGGGACUGAGACACUGCCCAGACACCUACGGGUGGCAG